This is a long non-coding RNA of Daphnia magna, 444 nucleotides long. RefSeq lists it as uncharacterized. The transcript is spliced from 2 exons. The record is from RefSeq and is a predicted model, not a curated record. Lineage: Eukaryota; Metazoa; Arthropoda; Branchiopoda; Diplostraca; Daphniidae.
UCGAGUUAUCGACCCGCCCACCUUUCCAAUUUUUAUUUCAGUUUCCCUCCCUCCCUUUUUCUUUUCGUGUGUGUGUGUGUGUCCCUUCUAUAUACAUACCUCCGAGUAUCCAAAGAAGAAGGGACGAUACAAACUGCAACAGGUAGAAAAUAAAAGAUAUAUAACCUACACACACAGAUAUUGGGAGCCUGUACUACACCUAACCUACUGUUUGAGGCUUGGAUGGGCACAGCCAAAACAGAACGGACGGCCAACGGCUACGAACAUUUCUUUUGUCCUCUACAGUAAAAGAAAGAAGAAAAAAAAGAGGAGAAGGAAAACUUUCCAGCCGUUUCUUUACGGAAGGAAUGAGCCAUUUCACAUCCACCGCAUCUUCAUGCCACCUGGUGGUAUUGUAAUACAGAAAGGAGAAAAUAAAAAGAGGUUUCAAAAAUUCGAGAAAAA